Molecule: ribosomal RNA, 1465 nt
Filed under: uncultured archaeon
Lineage: Archaea
Description: bacterial SSU rRNA
Rfam family: Archaeal small subunit ribosomal RNA
Source: RNAcentral
ACCCGACUGCUAUCGGAUUGGGAUUUAGCCAUGUUAGUUGCGCGUUCCCUGGCUACAGGGGACGCAGCGUACGGCUCAGUAACACGUAGUCAACCUACCCUGGAGACGCGGACAAACCCGGGAAACUGGGGCUAAUCCGCGAUAGAUGACCUCAUCUGGAAGGAGAGGUCGUCCAAAAGGAGGCACGGGUAUGCUCCGUGCUUUCCGCUCCAGGAUGGGACUGCGGCCGAUCAGGCUGUUGGCGGGGUAAUGGCCCACCAAACCUGUAACCGGUACGGGCUUUGAGAGAAGGAGCCCGGAGAUGGACACUGAGACAAGGGUCCAGGCCCUACGGGGCGCAUCAGGCGCGAAAACUUCGCAAUGCGCGAAAGCGUGACGAGGCUAGUCCGAGUGCUUCCCGCUAAGGGGAGCUUUUCUCGGCUGUAAAUAGGCAGGGGAAUAAGGGGAGGGCAAGUCUGGUGUCAGCCGCCGCGGUAAUACCAGCUCCUCGAGUGGUCGGGACGAUUAUUGGGCCUAAAGCACCCGUAGCCGGUUCAGUAAGUCCUCUGUCAAAUCCAACCGCUCAACGGUUGGCCCGCAGAGGAUACUGCUGGACUAGGAGGCGGGAGAGGCGGACGGUACUCCGCGUGUAGGGGUAAAAUCCUUUGAUCCGCGGAAGACCACCAGUGGCGAAGGCGGUCCGCCAGAACGCGCUCGACGGUGAGGGGUGAAAGCUGGGGGAGCGAACCGGAUUAGAUACCCGGGUAGUCCCAGCCGUAAACGAUGCGAGCUAGAUGAUUCGAUCGCAGUUCGCGAUCGAAGUGUCGCAGGGAAGCCGUUAAGCUCGCCGCCUGGGGAGUACGGUCGCAAGGCUGAAUCCGAGAUUUCGAUCUUCGAAGCUCGGCAGUUCACUUAAAGGAAUUGGCGGGGGAGCACCACAAGGGGUGAAGCCUGCGGUUCAAUUGGAGUCAACGCCAGGAAACUUACCAGGAGCGACAGCAGGUUGAGGGUCAGGCUGAAGACUUUACCUGACGAGCUGAGAGGAGGUGCAUGGCCGUCGCCAGCUCGUGCCGUGAGGCGUCCUGUUAAGUCAGGCAACGAGCGAGACCCUUGCCGGUAAUUGCUAGCCGAGGUAGCAGUAUCUCGGAGGCUAGUUACCGGGACUGCCGCUGCUAAAGCGGAGGAAGGAGAGGGCCACGGCAGGUCAGUAUGCCCCGAAACUCCUGGGCCACACGCGGGCUGCAAUGGUAGGGACAGUGGGUCCCGACCUCGACAGAGGAAGGCAAUCCUCAAACCCUACCCCAGUUGUGAUUGAGGGCUGAAACCCGCCCUCAUGAAUAUGGAAUCCCUAGUAACCGCGUGUCAUCACCGCGCGGUGAAUACGUCCCUGCUCCUUGCACACACCGCCCGUCGCUUCACCCGAGUUGGGUUUAGGCGAGGCCAGCUCUAGUUGGGCUGAUCGAACCUAAGUUCGGCAAGGGGGGAG